Megalobrama amblycephala (Wuchang bream) is the source of this 340-nucleotide long non-coding RNA. RefSeq lists it as uncharacterized. The record is from RefSeq and is a predicted model, not a curated record. NCBI's taxonomy places the organism in Eukaryota, Metazoa, Chordata, Actinopteri, Cypriniformes, Xenocyprididae. The transcript is spliced from 2 exons.
UGUAAACCUUGUCCUGGACAUUGGUAGCUCCGAACGUAGCGCUUGGAUAAUGUCUUAAAGGAUCUGUAUAUCCAGAGGAAUAUAACGGUAUCUGACCCAAGAAAGACUCCUGUCCUCCGGGUAGAGACACGGGAAAACCGAAGGGGGGUGGCGAGGUGCCAAUCUGAGACCGCGGGGAAACGGACCAGCUGAUCAGUGCCUGACCAAUCCUGAGCACUUCUGACAACAGGAUAACGUGUGGUGGGGGCCCUCUUGUUGCACAGAAUGGAAUCCCCAGGGCAUAUCUAAACACUCAGACGCAAGUGUUUUUCUCCGUUUACCGCAAAAAGAAAAAAAAAGA